GACAGAGGGGGCAAGCGUUGCUCGGAAUUACUGGGCGUAAAGGGCGCGUAGGCGGAAUGGCAAGUCGGUCGUGAAAUCCUUCGGCUCAACCGAAGAACGUCGAUCGAAACUGCCGUUCUUGAGGAUUGCAGAGGAGACUGGAAUUCCCGGUGUAGCGGUGAAAUGUGUAGAGAUCGGGAGGAAUACCGGUGGCGAAGGCGGGUCACUGGCCCGAUACUGACGCUGAGGCACGAAAGCGUGGGGAGCAAACAGG
This 253-nucleotide ribosomal RNA is filed under the name uncultured bacterium. Its description in RNAcentral is "partial 16S ribosomal RNA". It matches the Rfam family "Bacterial small subunit ribosomal RNA", at positions 524 to 776 of the family's 1533-position model. The record is from RNAcentral.